RNAcentral lists this ribosomal RNA (446 nucleotides) under uncultured bacterium. RNAcentral describes it as "partial 16S ribosomal RNA". It matches the Rfam family "Bacterial small subunit ribosomal RNA", at positions 338 to 795 of the family's 1533-position model. The record is from RNAcentral.
CCUACGGGAGACAGCAGUCGAGAAUCAUUCACAAUGGGGGAAACCCUGAUGGUGCGACGCCGCGUGGGGGAAUGAAGGUCUUCGGAUUGUAAACCCCUGUCAUGUGGGAGCAAAUUAAAAAGAUAGUACCACAAGAGGAAGAGACGGCUAACUCUGUGCCAGCAGCCGCGGUAAUACAGAGGUCUCAAGCGUUGUUCGGAAUCACUGGGCGUAAAGCGUGCGUAGGCUGUUUCGUAAGUCGUGUGUGAAAGGCGCGGGCUCAACCCGCGGACGGCACAUGAUACUGCGAGACUAGAGUAAGGGAGGGGGAACCGGAAUUCGCGGUGUAGCAGUGAAAUGCGUAGAUAUCGAGAGGAACACUCGUGGCGAAGGCGGGUUCCUGGACAUUAACUGACGCUGAGGCACGAAGGCCAGGGGAGCGAAAGGGAUUAGAUACCCCAGUAGUC